GCCGCCCGCCGCCAUCUCGCAGGGCCGGGCGGGGAGCUCUGGCCGGGCGCUGCUGGGAGCGCACGUCCCCGGCCCGGGCCGAGCGCGGCAGCCUGAGGUCAGCGCGUCCCGCUGCCGGCGGGUGCCCGGUGCUCCCCGGCCGGCACGGGGGGCUGCUCCGCUCCCCGCCCCCUCGUCACGUUGCUGUGAUCCUCUCGGCGAGAGACAGGGGAGCAAAGCUGAGGCGUGGCGGGGGCUUCCCUCUCUCUCGGCAUCGCUCUUUCCUGUCUGAGCUGAUUUUGGGACCGGGGGUCAGCAUGUGAGGCUGAGGACAGAAGAUGUCUGGGCAGAUGCAGUGUUGGUAUAAACCAAGGCAUUCACACACCGUGGAGCCACCUUUCAUGCUCAGAAGAUUCGCAGAAGAUCCGCAGCAGAUUCGUGGAGGACUUUCCCCCAUACCUCACCUGCAGUUUUGGUUGAAGCUUGUGAGUUGGAGCAAAUUGAAUUCCCCAUCUUCCCUGGCAAUUUGCUUCAAAAGCUGCUCUCUGGCUCCAUCUUCCGUUCUGUUGGUUGGUUGGUUUGGGGUGAUUAGUGUAGUUUAUCAGGGUGAGAUCCUUCUGAGUUUUAAAAAUGAAAUUUGUUUCGAGAAGUAUGUAAUCAAGGCUUGUGUGAUGGUUCAGACCAGUAGGAGAGAAUCCCGACUGGCAGGUGAGAGGGUAGCCCAGGUUGGAGGGAGUUGGAGGGUCUGCAGCCUGUGUUUAUACUCUGUCUGCGAAGUUGUUACUUCUGUUCCAAGAAGGGGGAAUUCCCUUGGCCAAAAAGCUCAGCAACGUGUUCUUUUUUGGCGUAAUUGUAACUUUUCUGCAAAAGUGUGAUCAUUACAUGAUCUGGCAACAUAGUAACACCUCACAUACCUUUCCGAGGAAACUGGCAAGCACUGGGACCGCUGAGUAGGAGAAGGACAGUGUGAUCAACAGGUUGGUCUCUUUGUGGGUACUAAGAAAAACAGUCCUUUACUAUAAAGUGCUCAACAAUAAUAAGAAUAAUAUUAAUAAUCCCAAGAGCAGACCUUUAAUAAAGAAAAACUAUUUCAUGGCAAUUAAACUUUAGGCCCAAACUAUUCAACACGUGCCCCUUUGAGCCAUUAAGUAACCUGAUUCCUGUUGCUCUUACUCUGCAAGAUGGCAUCACCUGUGGGAGUGGAGCUGUGCUUGGACUGAUUCAGUGCUUAAAUUUAAAACUACUCUGCGGACAGCGAGCCAGAUUUUGGCUUCUGAGGCCUCUUCCCCCACCACGCAUGCAACACCAAAGAAUUUAUAUACAUAAAGGAUAACCACCUAAAAAAAGGUAGAUCCACUUUGCAACAAGUAGAGCUGCCUCUCAAAAGUCAUCAGACAUUCCAGUGCUCUAUUCUCUUGCAUGCCUUUCUUCUCUGCCUGUUUGCAAACUGUUUUCCAGUUUUACAGUAUAUGGGAUUUACAGUUUCUUCAAAAUUUGCACUUCUAUGCAACUGCAAAAAUGUGUGCUUAAAAUUCUCUCCAUCUCCUGUUUUGUCAGCAGUGAUAGCCUUUAUAAGAUAGCUACUGAAAAAUAUUUUUAAUUUCAGAUGCUACCUCAUUCUUAGAAGCAUGUGGGAAACAAAUAUAGAUGUGCUCUUUUUAUAGAAAGGCAAACUUCACAGACCACCAAAACAUUCUGUGGAAAUCUCGCUUGUCCAUCUUGCUUAAAAACACAAAACUUUUUAUAAAAAGCACCCUCAAAUUUAGACAUUGUUCCUUAUUUUGCUCCAGGUAUUUAUCAGUCACACAAGGAAUAGUACUGCCUAUCACAUUUCUAUUAAUAAGCCCUAGACCGUCAUUAUCACAGUUUUCUUCUGUAUUUCAUUAGUUUUGGUUUAUGUGGGCAUUCAGAAAAUGAUAACCUACCAGAAACACUGCUUGACUCUACUGUAGUUCAAAGUUAUGGAGAAACAGAUGAGCUGUAAAGAAUAUGCACAGCAGUAUCACUGCAUAGCACCUUAUCGAGAAGAAAUACACUCAUUUUUAGCUGUCAUGCAAGUGCUGUUGGCAUUGUAACUGACUGUGAACAUGUGAGAGGAAAAAAAAGAGUGAUGCUGUGUCAGUGUGUGGGCUGCAAAUGAGAACUCCUGGCUCAUACAUUUUGCCCCAUAAGCAGUUCUGGCAUUGUAUGCAGUCUUAUUGCUGUUUCCUUUGUCCUCAUUGAUCCUGCUAUAGUAUUACUCACAUUUUGGGCUCCCUACUUGCUGUAAAAGAACUCUGUAAUUUAAUCCACUGUCUUUUUGGUGGAACUUUCUGACCACUAAUUCUUCUAAGCUCAUUAUUCUUGUAUUUUUCUAGGCCUCAGGACUUCAGGCCUUUUUUUUUGGUCCUAAAUCUUCCUUUGUGAUACUGAAAAAUCAUAGAAUCAUAAAAUCAUUUGGGUUGGAAAAGACUUUUAAGAUGAUCAAGUCCAACUAUUAACUUAGAAUACUGCCAAGUCUACCACUAAACCAUAUAAGCACCACAUCUACUCAUGGUGACUCAAUCACUUCCCUGGGCAGCCUGUUCCAGUGCCUGACAACCCUUUCAGUGAAAUGUUUUGCUAAUAUCCAAUCUCCAUUGGCACAACCUGAGGACAUUUGCUCUCAUCCUGUUACUAGGGAGAAGAGACCAACCCCCACCUCACUACAACCUCCUUUCAGGUAGUUGUAGAGAGUGACAAGGUCUCCCCUCACCCUCCUUUUUUCCAGGCCAAACAACCCCAGUUCCCCCAGCUACUCCUUGUAAGACUUGUGCUCUAGACCCUUCACCAGCUUCAAGGAUCAUGCAGUAUCAUGAAGAAAUACAUUUUCUAUUUGGAAAAUGCAUUAAAAUCACCUGUGUAACCUCCUUGAAAGUCGAAGACAUUAAGACAUUUCUCUACAUGAACACUUUGAAGUAUUUCCUUUUCUUUCAUCUCAAGUGUACAAAUAAGAACAUGUCCAGAGAAAUUCAAGAAACAGUUUAUUAAAACAA
This is a long non-coding RNA of Apus apus (common swift), 2993 nucleotides long. RefSeq lists it as uncharacterized. Lineage: Eukaryota; Metazoa; Chordata; Aves; Apodiformes; Apodidae. The record is from RefSeq and is a predicted model, not a curated record. The transcript has 2 exons.